Ailuropoda melanoleuca (giant panda) is the source of this 317-nucleotide non-coding RNA. NCBI's taxonomy places the organism in Eukaryota, Metazoa, Chordata, Mammalia, Carnivora, Ursidae. The record is from Rfam.
GCUGGGCGUGAUGGCACGCACCUGUAAGCCCCAGCUACUCAGGAGCUGAGGCAGGGGAUCGCUUGAGCCCAGGAGUUCUGGGCUGUAGUGCACCAUGCCGAUCAGGUGUCUGCACUAAGUUCAGCAUCAAUAUGGUGACCUCCCAGGAGCAGGGGACCACCAGGUUGCCUAAGGUGGGGUGAACCGGCCCAGGUUGGAAAUGGACCAGGUCAAGAGGUGGACGCUUAACCAACCAACAGAGCCAGCCAGGCGCCCCCCAACACUUCCCUUCUGUCCACACCAUGGACCGCCUGUGUACUGGUGCUCUUCUGUCUCUU